RNAcentral lists this long non-coding RNA (531 nucleotides) under Olea europaea subsp. europaea. Lineage: Eukaryota; Viridiplantae; Streptophyta; Magnoliopsida; Lamiales; Oleaceae. The record is from RNAcentral.
GUCGGCCUAUUUGUAGGUCUUUAUUUAUUGCUCUUAUUUUCAUACUGUACAUAUCUUCAAUUAUUAUUCUUUGUGCCUAUUAAGUUUUGCUGUGUGUAUGUUGGUAUAAACUUCAACUUGGAUGGAGUUUUGAGUUUCCUGCCUAAGCUUGAGAGCGAUGAGGGAUUAUAUCUAGCCCCCAAAAAGAGAGAGGCCUUGAGCAAGGAAAAAGAAAAAUGCACUGACAGGAGAUCUCCAAAGCUUUUGGAUGAGUUGUAAGAGCCAUCCUACAGUCUAAAGUUCGAGGGACGGCUGCAGUUGUGACGAGGAUAGAUUUGAGAAUGAAGUUUCUCCACUUCUAGCUCAUAGAUUUCCUUCAACUCGAGGUGAGAGGGAAUUUGAUAUGGUCAAUGCUUUCAUUAUGUCUGAUCAUGCUAGAGCUUUGGCUAGGCAUAGAGUGGAUAUGGUAGUCUACAAAAGAAUGGUACUUUUUUUGCUCUGCAAUUCAUUUUUGCUUAUAUUCACAUUUCUGAGUUUACUUGGCAAUUGUAU